This 378-nucleotide ribosomal RNA is filed under the name uncultured Hydrogenophaga sp. RNAcentral's name for it is "bacterial SSU rRNA". It matches the Rfam family "Bacterial small subunit ribosomal RNA", at positions 1000 to 1382 of the family's 1533-position model. The record is from RNAcentral. Lineage: Bacteria; Pseudomonadati; Pseudomonadota; Betaproteobacteria; Burkholderiales; Comamonadaceae.
CCAGAGAUGGUUCGUGCUCGAAAGAGAACCUGCACACAGGUGCUGCAUGGCUGUCGUCAGCUCGUGUCGUGAGAUGUUGGGUUAAGUCCCGCAACGAGCGCAACCCUUGCCAUCAGUUGCUACGAAAGGGCACUCUGAUGGGACUGCCGGUGACAAACCGGAGGAAGGUGGGGAUGACGUCAAGUCCUCAUGGCCCUUAUAGGUGGGGGCUACACACGUCAUACAAUGGCCGGUACAAAGGGCAGCCAACCCGCGAGGGGGAGCCAAUCCCAUAAAGCCGGUCGUAGUCCGGAUCGCAGUCUGCAACUCGACUGCGUGAAGUCGGAAUCGCUAGUAAUCGUGGAUCAGCAUGUCACGGUGAAUACGUUCCCGGGUCUU